AUUCAAAAAUGCUGAGAAAAUAGACAUAAUAAUUAGUUCACCGUGUUCGGCAACACGAAAUCCACCUAAAUAGAUUGCCCCAAAAAAAGGUCAAAAGGGAAGAAGCUCAACACCAGUAUCCCACAAAAAACCACAGCAAAAAUGAACUCCUAAAAAUAUAAUACACCAAAAUCACCUGUUGUUACUUAAAAAUCCAAUUUAAAUCCCUAUAUGUAUUUUACCUACCUCCAAAGUCAUCUUAAGCUUCACUGCUCUCAUUCUCCCUCUCUGUAAUCUGCUCUCUCCCUUUCUCACUAGUUCCCUCUCUGACUCAGAGCAACAGAAGAAGAAGUAGAAAAAUCAGCCCCUCUGU
RNAcentral lists this long non-coding RNA (352 nucleotides) under Ananas comosus (pineapple). RNAcentral describes it as "long non-coding RNA (ACOM_LNC013611)". Lineage: Eukaryota; Viridiplantae; Streptophyta; Magnoliopsida; Poales; Bromeliaceae. The record is from RNAcentral.